CUUUAGAAAAUACUACAGUAAAUACUUCAGCAUACUACAGUCUGCAAAAACACUACAGUAAAUACUAUAAUAUAUCGUACAUUUUUUUUUACUACAUUAUUAUACUAUAGUAUACUGUAAAUAGUACAGUAUACUACAGUAAAUACUACAUGACCUACUACAGGAGAAAAUACAGGUCCUGUAGAGAAAUAGGCUACUGGUUUCAAUGGCAUAUGGAAUGGCAUAUGGAAGUCUUUAUAAAAGAAUUGCCUGCAUGUUUGGUUGGAUUUUGGCUAGGUUUUGAAGCAAGGUAAGACAUGCCUCAUAAUAUGUAGUAAAAGGUUCAGGUUUCAAACAAUUAAGUCAAUAUUUUCAAAAUGCAUACUGCAUCCAGCUCGUUGCAAAGUGGUGGGUGACGCACUGAAGCCUACCUUGUUGCCUAUGCACUUGAAUGGGAAGCGCGUUUAAAUUACCAGUUGAUUAAAAAGAGCUACGAUUUUUAUUUCUCGUGGCCAUUGUUUUUAUUUUUUAUUUUUAUUUAUUUUUUUACAUGCGAUUGCCUUUAUAAUUGUUGCACAAUGAUUGGACUUAUUAAACCACAUGUUUUACUCCAGCAGCAACAAACAGCUGUUUGAGCUGUAUCAGCAGCUCUCGUGCUACAUCAACGGUUAUUUCAGUCAAUGCAUAGGCUAAAAUGUAUUAUUUAACAAUGGGAUUAUUUUUCUCUCCCGGACAAUUGGCCGGCACCAAUUUUAUUUAUCAGCUUUACAUUUUUUCUAUCUGCAAAAAGUGCCUAUUACCGGCUAACGGAAACCUUUAACCCAAGGUCAUACAUGAAAUGUUACACAUUGAAGUUCUAAAAUGUCACUUUGUAAUAAAGCACGGAUACAGUUUAGGUAGUUUAUUAUCUCUAAUGCAGGCAAUGAGACAAUGGUCACUGAGCUCAUUAGCAAAGAUUCCAUUGGUUGUACACUUAUGAGGGGGCGUUUGUCGGAAUCAUAUCCCUCCCAAAAAUGUGUGUUUUAAAUUGGGGUGGGUUUUGUUAUCAGUUAAUUUAAAUGUAGCUCAGUACAAAUAUCUUUCAGUUUAUCUGAUAUGGGCAUCAACCAAUCCAGGUUAAGAUCACCAAACAUUAAUAACUCAGAUUUAGCAUAGUUAGACAGCUGCUAAUAGCAAUUGGGAGCAAAACGGGAAAACACUGCACAUAGAGAUCUGUUCCCAGGUGUGUUAUAACAACAUUAUUGUAACAACGUUUCAACGAUUUAGAAAACGGUUUCUAAAACCUGAUGACGAUCAUAGGGUCAAAACAUUGUUAUAGUAAAUGUACUUGGGAGCGUUUAUCCAGCUUUUUUAAUGGGCAAUUAAAAAUAGGGCCAGGAGUUUCUCCUGACGCAGAAAAGCUCUAUAAUCCUGACACAGAUCCGUUGCAGUCAAAUUUGCUAAUAAACCUAUGGGAGCAUUCUAACAAUGUGCAGGUGUUUUUCUUCUUGUCCUCAUGGCAUUUAUUGUACAUUGCACCUGUGGACAUUAGUUGUAGAUUUUUGUACUGCACACUACAUUAGAGCUGGAAGCCAUGUGGAGGCAGAGGCCAGAAAUGUAAAGUGGAGGGCUCAGGCAUGGAGACAGAAAGAACAGAAGUCUGAUGGAGCGAUCGAUAGGACACUCAUUUUUUGAAUGUUUUUCCUUAUCAGUUAUUUCCUCACAGUUUAUUAGUGUACUGUACUGUACCUGGGCAGGGCUGAGCUGUGUGUCAGUCACAACACACACGUGCAGGCGUACGUGUUUCAUGAGGUGAGGUGAGAUACGCAGGGCCAGGGCAGGGAGGGGUUUGUUUACAUGCAAGUAGUAGUCGUCAGUGGGGACUUCAUUAGCAGCAGGUGUUUCCUUUGGGGUUCCUGUAACCGGAAAGCCCUGGAGUCUCCGAGCUAAAUUACUCUGAACUUCCAUCACUUCUGAUCUCCCUGCCUGCCCACUUACCUAUGAUUAUCUCUCAGGUAGAGGUUCACACACUUAAACUGUACACACAUACUGUAGAAAUACACACACAGGUACGCACACACACACGCACACACACACUCUUACCUGUACCCUUUCCCACCCAUGCAUAUACACACAAGCACACCCUCUCACUCAGACACACAAACAUAGAUCACGUGUCCCUGGAGGUGUAGUAUCAAUUUAGCACAAAGGUUGUCUGGCCCAAUGUGACACUAAGUGUAUGGGAAUGGGACAGGCUCCAGCGGUUGUCAGUUCAUUUGUUAUGUUAUGUUGAAGACUGACAUGUGUAACAGUCCUGACCUGUUUUAUGUUGUUUUUUAUGUGUUUAUGGUCAGGGCCUGUGUUUUGGGUGGGCAGUCUAUGUUAUCUGUUUCUAUGUUGGUUUUGGGUUACCUGGUAUGGCUCUUGAUUAGAGGCAGGUGGUUUGCGUUUUCCUCUAAUUAAGAGUCAUAUUUAGGUAGGGCGUUCUCACUGUUUGUUUGUGGGUGAUUGUCUCCUGUGAUGUCUUCGUCGUUGUCGAUGUAUUUUUUCUUACGGGGCUGUUUGGCUGUUCGUGUGUUUUGAUGUAACGUUCCUGUCCGUGAGUUUACGUUUAGUGAUGUGAGUUUAUGUUCAGGUUUCGUUCUACGUCGUUUUCUUGUUUUUGUAAAGUUUGGUAAAGUGUUUGUUUUCGUGUUGCCAUCAUUAUUCAGUUUUGUCGUUUAUAAAUAAAAAGAUGGCUUAUUUCCCUGAA
Molecule: long non-coding RNA, 2710 nt
Organism: Salvelinus fontinalis (brook trout)
Lineage: Eukaryota; Metazoa; Chordata; Actinopteri; Salmoniformes; Salmonidae
Exons: 2
Source: RefSeq, a predicted model, not a curated record